CCUACGGGUGGCAGCAGUGAGGAAUAUUGGUCAAUGGACGAGAGUCUGAACCAGCCAAGUAGCGUGAAGGAUGACUGCCCUAUGGGUUGUAAACUUCUUUUAUAUGGGAAUAAAAUGUUCCACGUGUGGGAUUUCGUAUGUACCAUAUGAAUAAGGAUCGGCUAACCCCGUGCCAGCAGCCGCGGUAAUACGGAGGAUCCGAGCGUUAACCGGGUUUAUUGGGUUUAAAGGGAGUCUAGGUGGUUUGUUAAGUCAGUUGUGAAAGUUUGCGGCUCAACCGUAAAAUUGCAGUUGAUACUGGCAGUCUUGAGUAAGAUAGAGGUGAGCGGAAUUCGUGGUGUAGCGGUGAAAUGCUUAGAUAUCACGAAGAACUCCAAUUGCGAAGGCAGCUCACUGGGCUGCAACUGACACUGAGGCUCGAAAGUGUGGGUAUCAAACAGGAUUAGAUACCCCAGUAGUC
Molecule: ribosomal RNA, 460 nt
Filed under: uncultured bacterium
Lineage: Bacteria
Description: partial 16S ribosomal RNA
Rfam family: Bacterial small subunit ribosomal RNA
Source: RNAcentral